Eleginops maclovinus (Patagonian blennie) is the source of this 1883-nucleotide long non-coding RNA. RefSeq lists it as uncharacterized. Lineage: Eukaryota; Metazoa; Chordata; Actinopteri; Perciformes; Eleginopidae. The record is from RefSeq and is a predicted model, not a curated record. The transcript has 4 exons.
GUUUUCUUCAGUGCCUCCUUAAGCGUCACGGACCACCGGAAGUGGUGGUCAUACAAUAAACACGCAAGACAUUUCCUAUUAAGCCUUUAUUUGUAUUUCAAGGUGUUGCUGAUAAAUCUUUGAAUUGAACACUGACUCUCACGGAGGAUUUAUUUAAGUUUACUGUGCAGGCAUGACAGAAGUUUAAUUCGAGAAUUCAACGUAGUCAGGUCUAAAACUGCAAAAUGGGUGUGUUACACUCAACACAGAGUAAGGAAGGCAGAAAGUGUCAGCAUGUUACAGAAGUAGUCCAAGCUGACAGCAACAGUUCUGAAGAGGAAAUAAUGACGGCAGAAAUACAUCAAGGAAAUUUGGGGAGCAUUGAGGGAGAUUCCAGUGAACACAUGUCGGACAACAGUCCCACUAAAAUAGGAGGGGGGAUGCCAGAAGGUUCAAAUAAGUUGAAGAUUUGUGUUACAGAUGAUAUUAACAUCAUGAAGCUAGUUUCAUGCAUUGCAAGCGAUGGGUCAAUCAUAAAACAAAAAGAGGAGGAAGGAUCAGGAGAUGACCAUGCUGGUAUUUCUGUUCAAACUCAAGUUUCCCAGGAACAGGCCAGUAAAGAAGACAGCCUUAGGACAGACCAAUCUCCUAAGAAAAGAGGCAGGCCGAGAAAGUCUGAGAAGCCUGAUGUUAAACACUCACCUAAGGGAGACUCUAAAACACCAAAAAGGGGUCGUCCAAAAGGAUCCACGAAGCACAAGCUAGCAUGUUUAACAAGUGAAGAGAAUGAGGGACCUGACGCUGGGGUCAGAGUUGAGCAGUGAGGAGGAGGGACGAGGAGGAGGAUGAAGGAAGCCAAAAAUCUCCAAUAAGGAAGAGAGGUCGACCCAUGAAGGUGGUAACACCGGGGGGGGCGGCACAGAACGCAUCAAAUGAAACCCCAGAGAAGUCUAAUAGAGGGAGGGGGAGGCCUAGAAAAAUUAUCGUAAAGGAGAGCGAAGGCGAACAGGAAGUGGUCAGCGAUGGCUCGCCACCAGUUAAGAAGGCAAGAGGUCGACCUAAAGGCAGUUUAACAAAGAAGGUGCUCGAUGAGGAAGGCAAGCCUGAUAGUAACCUGCCCAAAAAACUUCCAGUCAAAAGGGGAAGGCCACGAAAAUACCCUCUGCCCACCCCUGAGGAGCUGAAUAAGCCAAAAGUAUGGAAGAAGCUCGGAAGGCCUCCCAAGAAUCCGCCUGCCUCUUUAUCCUCACCAAGCUGUGAUGUUGACAUCCCGAAAAAAAGGGGUCGUCCCCCAGGUAAUCCAAAAAGUGAUGUUGGCACCCCGCGGAAGAGUGAUGCCAGCAGUGAAACCAAGCUCGAGACCUCCCUCACCGAACAUCCAGAAUGAAGUAAUGCAUCUCCGUUUGGGGAAGAGCUGGCAGAAGAGAAGCUGGGGCAAAACACAAAGACAUCCACCGAGCACCGAGACAAUACAAAGAAAUAGCUUAUUCAGGAUGUUAGCCAGGGAUUAGUAAGCAACUAUUUAAUGAAUGAAAACAUAUAUUUUUUUAUUCGAUCAAUUGGUUUACAUUUUUAAAUUUGUUUUAGAUUUUUGUUCACACACUGCUUUUAUCAGGUAUAAAUAGCUGAUGUACAAAGCAGACUGUCAAAGGAAAGGAACAGCUGAGGUAUGAGCAGCUUAAGGGCCAGAUAUUUCCAUCAGCUGUUGGUAGAGACCAAAACGGAGCUAAAAUGAUUGGCUUCAAUCAAGACUACUGAUGAUGUUUCUGUGUAACUGCGUGAUGUGUAAGUUACCAACACUUACACUCACAACUUUUGUCAUACUGUUACAAAUAGUAUGCUUUUCCCUUUUUGAACGAGAAUUCAAUCAUUUGUAAGAUUGAAAUAAAAUGUUGAUUUUAUUU